This 435-nucleotide ribosomal RNA is filed under the name uncultured bacterium. RNAcentral describes it as "bacterial SSU rRNA". It matches the Rfam family "Bacterial small subunit ribosomal RNA", at positions 355 to 796 of the family's 1533-position model. The record is from RNAcentral.
UCGAGGAUCUUCGGCAAUGGGCGCAAGCCUGACCGAGCGACGCCGCGUGCGCGAUGAAGGCCUUCGGGUUGUAAAGCGCUGUCGAGGGGGAGGAAAGCCCGCAAGGGUCUGACCUAUCCCUGGAGGAAGCACGGGCUAAGUUUGUGCCAGCAGCCGCGGUAAGACAAACCGUGCGAACGUUGUUCGGAAUCACUGGGCUUAAAGGGCGCGUAGGCGGCUUGCCAAGUCAGGGGUGAAAUCUUUCGGCUUAACCGGAAAAGUGCUUCUGAUACUGGCAGGCUAGAGGGAGGUAGGGGCAUGUGGAACUUCCGGUGGAGCGGUGAAAUGCGUUGAUAUCGGAAGGAACGCCGGUGGCGAAAGCGACGUGCUGGACCUUUUCUGACGCUGAGGCGCGAAAGCUAGGGGAGCGAACGGGAUUAGAUACCCGGGUAGUCC